CAGCCGCCGCGGGAAUACGUAGGUGGCAAGCGUCGUCCGGAAUUAUUGGGCGUAAAGGGCUCGCAGGCGGUUUCUUAAGUCUGAUGUGAAAGCCCCCGGCUCAACCGGGGAGGGUCAUUGGAAACUGGGAAACUUGAGUGCAGAAGAGGAGAGUGGAAUUCCACGUGUAGCGGUGUAAUGCGUAGAGAUGUGGAGGAACACCAGUGGCGAAGGCGACUCUCUGGUCUGUAACUGACGCUGAGGAGCGAAAGCGUGGGGAGCGAACAGGAUUAGAUACCCGUGUAGUCCCUGUCUCUUAUAC
This 301-nucleotide ribosomal RNA is filed under the name uncultured bacterium. Its description in RNAcentral is "partial 16S ribosomal RNA". It matches the Rfam family "Bacterial small subunit ribosomal RNA", at positions 509 to 807 of the family's 1533-position model. The record is from RNAcentral.